CCAAUAGCGUAUAUUAAAGUUGUUGCAGUUAAAAAGCUCGUAGUUGAAUUUCGGGAUUAGUACGUUGGUCGUGCCUUUGGUACGUACUGGUGUUACUGGUUCCUACCUUCUGAGGAACCGCCAUGUCAUUAAUUUGGUGUGGCGGGGAAUCAGGACUGUUACUUUGAAAAAAUUAGAGUGUUUAAAGCAGGCUCGCGCUUGAAUACAUUAGCAUGGAAUAAUGAAAUAGGACGUUUGACCCUAUUUUGUUGGUUUCUAGGAUUGACGUAAUGAUUAAUAGGGAUAGUUGGGGGCAUUAGUAUUCAAUUGUCAGAGGUGAAAUUCUUGGAUUUAUUGAAGACUAACUACUGCGAAAGCAUUUGCCAAGGAUGUUUUCAUUAAUCAAGAACGAAAGUUAGGGGAUCGAAGACGAUCAGAUACCGUCGUAGUCUUAACCAUAAACUAUGCCGACUAGGGAUCGGAUGAUGUUAUUUUUAAUGACUCAUUCGGCGCCUUACG
This 498-nucleotide ribosomal RNA is filed under the name uncultured Glomeromycotina. RNAcentral's name for it is "partial small subunit ribosomal RNA". It matches the Rfam family "Eukaryotic small subunit ribosomal RNA", at positions 591 to 1092 of the family's 1831-position model. Lineage: Eukaryota; Fungi; Glomeromycota. The record is from RNAcentral.